Molecule: long non-coding RNA, 348 nt
Organism: Salvia miltiorrhiza (redroot sage)
Lineage: Eukaryota; Viridiplantae; Streptophyta; Magnoliopsida; Lamiales; Lamiaceae
Exons: 2
Source: RefSeq, a predicted model, not a curated record
CUUUGUGGAAAUCGGAAGAAAAUUUUCAAACUACUGCAGUUGGAGAGAUUUGCUUUUUUUUUUCCCUGGAUUAGAUUAUAUUUCAUACUUGUUUACUAGAAAUUGGGGAUUGAGCUUUUACAGUAUGUUGCAGAGUGCUAGAGCAUGAUAUUUUGCUAUCUUUCCCUUUUCUAGUGUUACAUUAUAUGCUUUUUUGUGCAUAGAAUCAUUUUUAAUUUUCAAAGGGCUUUAAAUUUUUGCAGUGAUAUAGAUAAUCUCACGCUUUUACCUUUUGUUGAUCUCAAAAGAUAAAGUAAUAUCAUGGUGUAUUUCUAUCCGGCCUUCGUUUCUCCCCCUCUUUCCUGUAAU